UCGCUUCAGCAGCGCAUAUACUAAAAAUUGGAACGAUACAGAGAAGAUUAACAUGGCCCCUGUGCAAGGAUGACACGCAAAUUCAUGAAGCGUUCCAUAUUUUU
Molecule: small nuclear RNA, 104 nt
Organism: Otolemur garnettii (small-eared galago)
Lineage: Eukaryota; Metazoa; Chordata; Mammalia; Primates; Galagidae
Source: Ensembl